CUGUUGCUUCGUUGAGAUCAGUGCUUCUCUCUACAAAAGAAUUUCCAAACUUAUCGUAAUGCGUUGCCAGAGUUAAGGCCUAUGUCCAAAGCUUUAUUUUAAAAUGCUGGAGAGAACAGAAAGUGGAACUUAAUAUGCAUAGUAAAUAUAAGAAUAACAGAAGCAGGAUUUUGUAAGUCUAAAGAUAUUUUUAGGUUUGGAUACACUCAUUCCUCAUAAAAGAAAAAGGAAGGAAAAGGGCGUUGUUCAUUUUUUUAAAAGGAAUAAAGAACCGUCAAAUGAUUUUACCGGUUUGUCGCAUUAGCCUAAUUUGGAUAUAAUUCGAAAUUGUAUAAAAGGUAUCCAAUUUUUUCCUGCGUCUUGUAAGUCAAUCUCCGAUAAAUAAGAGAUUAAUGUGAAAAUAAUGCCUUCAUGAGAAACAACUUAUUUCAACCACAUCUCAUUCUCAGCAAUCACAGAGUUCCAUUAUAGACGUUGAUAAAAAAAAUAAUAUAAAGAAUAAGUGCAGCAAUUACUUCGUCCGGCUUCAAUUUGUCCUUUUUACAAAGUCAAAGUUUUCGAAUUGUCUUGAAGCAAACAACCCUACACAGAUCUGUCUGUCAUAGGUAACGCUUAAUAUCUCUUAGGAAAUGAAGUAUAACGACUGUGAUUUCCAAGCGCUUCAUCUUACCUUUUAACGAGAUUGGAUCAAGAGCCUUGGAAUAAUUUCGUUUCUCUUAAGUUUAAUUCCCAUCGUCCAUUCGCUGCUCUUUCUGAUAUAUGAUUAACGAUUUCUUUAAACAUCUCGGUGAAUACGAGAUUUGAACUCCUUCACUAUUUCCUUAGAAGCUUAAAUCCUCUUUCUAAGAAGUAAUUUUUGGCUGGCAACCAAGCAAGUCAUGCUCUAAAGUUUUAUGAUCGUUCAAAAAAAUAAUCCAACUAACGUCUUUGGCAUUUCGUCUAAUCAAACCUUGGAAGUCGCUUUUCAUCGACAAUUUCUUAGCUUAAACUUGACAAAUAGAUUACAUUUUUUCUACAAUAUUCAAGCAUUUCUUUAACAUUU
RNAcentral lists this unclassified non-coding RNA (1042 nucleotides) under Schizosaccharomyces pombe (fission yeast). Its description in RNAcentral is "non-coding RNA (predicted)". Lineage: Eukaryota; Fungi; Ascomycota; Schizosaccharomycetes; Schizosaccharomycetales; Schizosaccharomycetaceae. The record is from RNAcentral.